This is a non-coding RNA of Aegilops tauschii subsp. strangulata, 3103 nucleotides long. The record is from RefSeq and is a predicted model, not a curated record. Lineage: Eukaryota; Viridiplantae; Streptophyta; Magnoliopsida; Poales; Poaceae.
GCUCGUUCUUCUCGUCAGUUCGUCGCUCGAUCUGUGCCAGCCUGCUGCGUCUUCAUCCAGGGAUGUACAGCUAAAAGAGAGCUGACUAGGCCCGCCUGGGAAAGCAGGUAAGCACAUUCGUGUCUGGUGUGUCAGAUCUGCUAAAUUGAACUCUUGCACUUCAAGAUAGAUUUUCAUGUAUUAUUACUUUUGACUGACAGCGAGUUCAUAAAUUGUUGCUCUGUAGUGAUAAUACUCUUAGAUUAUUUCAGCCUUAUUGAUUUGAAUGCUGAAAUAUCUUUCUGACCCUAUACAAAAAAUAUUGUUUUGUGUAAAUAAUGCAUCGCAUAUUUUUUACUGUUGGCAAAUGAAUUAUUUAUGUAUAGUUACUACCAAAUUAUCAGAAUAAUAAAUCUAUCACUCGCUCCAAUUAUUUGUAAUUCUGGGUUAGGCUUUUCUUAUCUAAACUACUUGAUGUGACAAAAUAUCUUAAACAAGCUCUGUGAUUUGUAUGCUCUCUUAUAUUAUCAAAGAUGAUUGCACUUAUAUGAUAUGUUUGAUAGUUCCUAUAUACUCUGAAAGAAAAAAUAGCUGAUGUUCCGCUCCCUCCAGGCUUGCACUCGCGUCGCGCCCUUUCCUCUCCCUGCCGCCUCGCCUCUCUCCCUGCCUGCUCGUUGCCCCGGUCGUCUCUGAUGGUGCUCCUAGAUGUGCUAUACAUCACCUCCUCACCUCCUUGGCCACUUCGGUGCCCAUGGCUUUCGUGCUCGUCGGCGGGAUGGUGCAAGGCGCAACUCCGACGUGGUUCCUCACUGGUUGGAUGGCGUUCAGGCGCAACCCCGGUGCCCUCUGAGUACUGCCUCGGCUACAACCUCCCUCUGUGAGCUCCAUCUUCCCCAUGCUCUGCUUCGGCUACUAUAUGGGACAUGGCCAGGGCUAUGAUGAUCAGUUAUGGCUGAUAUAGGCAUGCUCUCAAGCAGUCGAGGAACUUGUGGGUAUUAAUUUGGAUCCUCCCUCAUUUCUUUGAGCUGUUUUGAUUGCGUUCUUAUUUUAGUGGCUCUGUCCUUGGAUGGUCAUUUCUAAUGAGUGAUAACGAGGGUAGUUAAACCCUCGUAAGAACAUAUUGAUCCGGUAAUCCAUCCAGAAAUCCAGAAAUAAGUCUAGAAAUAAGAGAAGGAUGUCUCACCGAGCUCUCACAGCGAUUAGGAACUCUCGGCCGUCGGAUCGGUUUGCUUGAUGCGAUUCUGGGAGAUGGAUCUCGCUCCGGAUUAAUCUCGGCCGUUGGAUCGAGCCUGAACUCCUGCAGUAAUGAAUAGUUACUCCCAAAAUGAGAUAUCUCGUGCCACCGCAUUUGAAUCACGUGCCCCAUCGGUCGGAAUCCAUUCUUGCUAGGGCGAUGAUGAUUAGCCGUGGGUAUCAAGUUGGGUCCGCCCUCUUGUCUCUAGAAUCCUUUUUGAUCCUGUGAUACUUAUUGUUCUAUCCUUUGGAUGGUCAUUCUUAUUGAGUGAUAACCAGGGCAGCUCCACUGUAUAAACAGAUUGAUCUGGUGAUAAGAGAUGAUGGGGGUAGAUUAUAUGAUCGAGGAAAGGCAAAUCUGAGCCCAUACGCAUUGAACCCUGAACCCUUUUUAUUCGCACGUGCCCCACCGGUCGGAAGCCAUCCUUUCUAGGGCGAUGAUGAUUCGCUGUGGCUGAAAUAAGUGUGCCUUUGAGCAAUCAAGGCACCUGUGGGUAUCAAGUUGGGUCCUCCCUCUUGUCUCUAGAAUCCUUUUUGAUCAUGUGAUACUUAUUGUUCUGUCCUUGGAUGGUCAUUCUUGCUGAGUGAUAAGCAGGGCAGCUCCACUGUAUAAACAGAUUAAUCUGGUGACAAGAGAUGGCGGGGGUAGAUUAUAUGAUCGAGGAAAGGCAAAUCUGAGCCCACUAUGCAUUGAACCCUGAACCCUUUUUAUUUGUAUUUAAAGGUGUUGCUUAUUUAUGCUCCACUGUUUAUAGCCGUCUUAUGUGAAUAUUUCUUCUCUCUCAUACCUUUAUUGCAUAUAAGUUGUUCUUGACUUUUAUUGUUUGUUGUUGGUCCUUGAUUUCAUCUGGUUAAGAGUAAGCAAGUUGUCGGUUCAAUGGCUUGUUUUAAUUUGUUGAUAAACCAGCAGAAACCACGGUGUCAUGUUUCUAAUAACAACGUCUUUAGGCUGGUUAAUGUUUGUAUUGGAGCCCACUACCUUUUAUUUCGCUUGUUUCUUACCAUCUUCCUUGCUUCUCUGGCUGUUUCACGGUUGGGACGGUGGCGUGGCAUUGGGGCUAUCUUGUGGGUUGGACGGAGAGGGAGCACACCGAGUGGGCUUCUAAGAUGGCUGAGGGAUUUGUCUAGGGUUUCCUGGUUAAUCCAUUCUGAUUUUGGUCUGCUCAUGCUCUUGGCUUCCGGACCGUAGUGCUCAAGGUGGUCUGGCUGUCGCUGUCGCCCCUGCUCGACGAUGCUGCACCCCUGCUCGAUCACUUUAUAAAAAUAGCGUAUGCAGAAGUGAAAACGAGUCAAACAGAUGAUCAGUGCCUCAGUCCUUCAGUACUUGAGCGGCCGCCGAGGGAGCCGAGCCGACGGAUGUGGAGGAAUAUGAUGUUGCGUGGAGUGGCGUGGGGUAACAACCAUCUCCAUCGAGUGGCGGUGCUCGCGUGAAGGAUGAGUUCGUGGUAGUAGCACUCUCUCGGCUGUGGCUGCACGUUCAACUGGCCAGUCAAGGAGCUCCAGCACAAGCAGGUCCGCCUACUCUCCUUUCCCCUGAGCUCCUGCAACUACACAAAUCAUCUUCCUGGACACCCAGCGAGUGUUUAGGAUCCCACACACGACAGUUCUUGGCAUGCUCCUGGCACACCUUGGACUAUCACCGGCUCAGUAUGAACGCGUUGUUCAUGAGGACGGCAAGACCCAUGUUGUAAAUUGUCUGUAAGCGACGUGUUGCCGUAUCUUCUAUGCCUAAAACGUCUGUAAGCGACGUGUUGUCGUAUCUUCUAUGCCUAAACGCGUCUACGUUAUGCCUAAAACUUAAAGUUAUCUAUGCAUAGUUGUAAAUUGUCUUUAAGCGACGUGUUGUCGUAUCUUCUAUGCCUAAGAUAUUUGGUGCUAACCUAUCGUGAAA